CAUGCAAGUCGAACGAACUCUUCGGAUUAGUGGCGGACGGGUGAGUAACACGUGGGAACGUGCCUUUUGGUUCGGAAUAACUCAGGGAAACUUGUGCUAAUACCGAAUGUGCCCUUCGGGGGAAAGAUUUAUCGCCAUUAGAGCGGCCCGCGUCUGAUUAGCUAGUUGGUGAGGUAACGGCUCACCAAGGCGACGAUCAGUAGCUGGUCUGAGAGGAUGAUCAGCCACACUGGGACUGAGACACGGCCCAGACUCCUACGGGAGGCAGCAGUGGGGAAUCUUGCGCAAUGGGCGAAAGCCUGACGCAGCCAUGCCGCGUGAAUGAUGAAGGUCUUAGGAUUGUAAAAUUCUUUCACCGGGGACGAUAAUGACGGUACCCGGAGAAGAAGCCCCGGCUAACUUCGUGCCAGCAGCCGCGGUAAUACGAAGGGGGCUAGCGUUGCUCGGAAUUACUGGGCGUAAAGGGCGCGUAGGCGGAUCGUUAAGUCAGGGGUGAAAUCCCGGGGCUCAACCUCGGAAUUGCCCUUGAUACUGGCGAUCUUGAGUAUGAGAGAGGUAUGUGGAACUCCGAGUGUAGAGGUGAAAUUCGUAGAUAUUCGGAAGACACCAGUGGCGAAGGCGACAUACUGGCUCAUUACUGACGCUGAAGCGCGAAAGCGUGGGGAGCAAAC
Molecule: ribosomal RNA, 671 nt
Filed under: Brevundimonas sp. MYb76
Lineage: Bacteria; Pseudomonadati; Pseudomonadota; Alphaproteobacteria; Caulobacterales; Caulobacteraceae
Description: bacterial SSU rRNA
Rfam family: Bacterial small subunit ribosomal RNA
Source: RNAcentral